AUCUGCGUAGGAUCUGAGGAGUGGAUGAGUCUCAUUCCCCAGCUCCUGAGCAGGA
RNAcentral lists this microRNA precursor (55 nucleotides) under Nomascus leucogenys (northern white-cheeked gibbon). RNAcentral's name for it is "mir-3193 microRNA precursor family". It matches the Rfam family "mir-3193 microRNA precursor family". The record is from Rfam by way of RNAcentral. Lineage: Eukaryota; Metazoa; Chordata; Mammalia; Primates; Hylobatidae.